RNAcentral lists this ribosomal RNA (794 nucleotides) under uncultured Pelagibacteraceae bacterium. RNAcentral describes it as "bacterial SSU rRNA". It matches the Rfam family "Bacterial small subunit ribosomal RNA", at positions 44 to 886 of the family's 1533-position model. The record is from RNAcentral. Lineage: Bacteria; Pseudomonadati; Pseudomonadota; Alphaproteobacteria; Candidatus Pelagibacterales; Candidatus Pelagibacteraceae.
ACGCCUAAUACAUGCAAGUCGAACGAAGUAGCAAUACUUAGUGGCAGACGGGUGAGUAACAUGUGGGUAUCUUCCCUUUGGUGAGGAAUAACACGAGGAAACUUGUGCUAAUACCUCAUAAGUCUUUACGGAGAAAGCUUUAUGCGCCAUUGGAUGAGCCCGCACUUGAUUAGUUUGUUGGUGGGGUAAUGGCCUACCAAGACUUUGAUCAAUAGCUGAUUUGAGAGGAUGAUCAGCCACAUUGGGACUGAGACACGGCCCAAACUCCUACGGGAGGCAGCAGUAGGGAAUCUUGCACAAUGGAGGAAACUCUGAUGCAGCGAUGCCGCGUGAGUGAAGAAGGCCUUUGGGUUGUAAAGCUCUUUCGUCGGGGAAGAAAAUGACUGUACCCGAAUAAGAAGGUCCGGCUAACUUCGUGCCAGCAGCCGCGGUAAUACGAAGGGACCUAGCGUAGUUCGGAAUUACUGGGCUUAAAGAGUUCGUAGGUGGUUAAAAAAGUUGGUGGUGAAAGCCCAGAGCUUAACUCUGGAACUGCCAUCAAAACUUUUUAGCUAGAGUAUGAUAGAGGAAAGCAGAAUUUCUAGUGUAGAGGUGAAAUUCGUAGAUAUUAGAAAGAAUACCAAUUGCGAAGGCAGCUUUCUGGAUCAUUACUGACACUGAGGAACGAAAGCAUGGGUAGCGAAGAGGAUUAGAUACCCUCGUAGUCCAUGCCGUAAACGAUGUGUGUUAGAUGUUGGAAAUUUAUUUUCAGUAUCGCAGCGAAAGCGAUAAACACACCGCCUGGGGAGUACGAC